GUUGAAACACCAGUUCCCGUACGAUCAUCGAAGUUAAGCAACGUCGAGCCUGAUCAUACCUAGAUGGGUGACCGCUUGGGAAUACCAGGUACAGUA
Non-coding RNA from Acanthosepion pharaonis, 96 nucleotides. Lineage: Eukaryota; Metazoa; Mollusca; Cephalopoda; Sepiida; Sepiidae. The record is from the annotation of a GenBank genome assembly.